GCGUUACAUAAAUUGGGGAAAUCAUCAGCCUUUUAGUUACAGCUGUAAUAUGUGUGCAGAGUUGGACGAGUGUGGGAAAUGGCAGACACUAUGCUGUAAUGAGGAAAGAGGCUUGUUGUGCACUAUACCAAAUACCCGUCUUCAUUGUGACGACGUUUAUUGCUACUUUGAAUAUUAUCAGAAAGUACCCUGCAACAUGAUGAAGACCGUAUGUGAAAAAAUCAAAGGAGAGCCAGUCAUUCCUGAAAAUUUUACAAUCAAUAAGAACUUAAAUCAAUUGUUUGUCAAUUCCUACAACAAUAUGAUUUGGAUACAAAUUCCACCUAAAAACCAA
This 334-nucleotide long non-coding RNA is filed under the name Octopus sinensis (East Asian common octopus). RNAcentral's name for it is "uncharacterized LOC115230523". The record is from RNAcentral. Lineage: Eukaryota; Metazoa; Mollusca; Cephalopoda; Octopoda; Octopodidae.